UACGAAGGGGGCUAGCGUUGUUCGGAAUUACUGGGCGUAAAGCGCGCGCAGGCGGUUCUCCAAGUCAGGGGGGAAAGCCCGGAGCUCAACUCCGGAACUGCCAUUGAAACUGUUGAACUUGAGGACGAGAGAGGUGAGUGGAAUUCCCAGUGUAGAGGUGAAAUUCGUAGAUAUUGGGAAGAACACCAGUGGCGAAGGCGGCUCACUGGCUCGUAUCUGACGCUCAGGCGCGAUAGCGUGGGGAUCAAACAGG
Molecule: ribosomal RNA, 253 nt
Filed under: uncultured bacterium
Lineage: Bacteria
Description: partial 16S ribosomal RNA
Rfam family: Bacterial small subunit ribosomal RNA
Source: RNAcentral